UCGAACGGAAUAACCACGAAAAUAUAAGAGAUUUUUUUAGAGCAGAAUAUGGAGAGAGAAGAAUUUAGAAAUCAAUUGAAUUUGUAAUUGAUUUGGUGUGUCAAAAACGAAUCUGGGGUUCUCUAUUUAUAGAGAUUGAAGUGUCUCAUGGAAUAGGUGUGUGACAUUUCAGGAACUGGUGCACCACUUGGUCUGAUUCGUCUUAGCCAUUG
RNAcentral lists this long non-coding RNA (212 nucleotides) under Olea europaea (common olive). RNAcentral's name for it is "long non-coding RNA (OEUR_LNC009112)". The record is from RNAcentral. Lineage: Eukaryota; Viridiplantae; Streptophyta; Magnoliopsida; Lamiales; Oleaceae.